GACGAACGCUGGCGGCGUGCUUAACACAUGCAAGUCGAACGGAAAGGCCCUGCUUUUGUGGGGUGCUCGAGUGGCGAACGGGUGAGUAACACGUGAGUAACCUGCCCUUGACUUUGGGAUAACUUCAGGAAACUGGGGCUAAUACCGGAUAGGAGCUCCUGCUGCAUGGUGGGGGUUGGAAAGUUUCGGCGGUUGGGGAUGGACUCGCGGCUUAUCAGCUUGUUGGUGGGGUAGUGGCUUACCAAGGCUUUGACGGGUAGCCGGCCUGAGAGGGUGACCGGCCACAUUGGGACUGAGAUACGGCCCAGACUCCUACGGGAGGCAGCAGUGGGGAAUAUUGCACAAUGGGCGGAAGCCUGAUGCAGCAACGCCGCGUGCGGGAUGACGGCCUUCGGGUUGUAAACCGCUUUCGCCUGUGACGAAGCGUGAGUGACGGUAAUGGGUAAAGAAGCAUCGGCUGACUACGUG
RNAcentral lists this ribosomal RNA (468 nucleotides) under uncultured bacterium. Its description in RNAcentral is "partial 16S ribosomal RNA". It matches the Rfam family "Bacterial small subunit ribosomal RNA", at positions 28 to 507 of the family's 1533-position model. The record is from RNAcentral.